This 289-nucleotide ribosomal RNA is filed under the name uncultured bacterium. RNAcentral describes it as "partial 16S ribosomal RNA". It matches the Rfam family "Bacterial small subunit ribosomal RNA", at positions 775 to 1067 of the family's 1533-position model. The record is from RNAcentral.
GGAUUAGAUACCCUGGUAGUCCACGCUGUAAACGAUGUUCACUCGCUGUCGGCGAUACACAGUCGGCGGCUGAGCGAAAGCAUUAAGUGAACCACCUGGGGAGUACGAUCGCAAGGUUGAAACUCAAAGGAAUUGACGGGGGCCCGCACAAGCGGAGGAACAUGUGGUUUAAUUCGAUGAUACGCGAGGAACCUUACCUGGGCUUAAAUGUAGAUUGCAUAGGGUAGAAAUAUCCUUUCCCUUCGGGGCUAUUUACAAGGUGCUGCAUGGUUGUCGUCAGCUCGUGCCG